Molecule: long non-coding RNA, 371 nt
Filed under: Elaeis guineensis (African oil palm)
Lineage: Eukaryota; Viridiplantae; Streptophyta; Magnoliopsida; Arecales; Arecaceae
Description: long non-coding RNA (EGUI_LNC072979)
Source: RNAcentral
UUGGUGCUUGAUGCCUCUUCAGCGGUCGUGAAGGCCCGGCCUCAGAUGCUGUCCUCUUCUUGGCAGUGUGUUGACUAAUGUCAGCAUUCAACAUAUGCACCUUCUACUGCAGGCUGCAAUUACAAUGGAGAUCAGUAUAAUUCAGCAAGUAAAAGGAAAGUCAGAAAUAAUCGAUCAACUAUACUAUACCUAGAUGAGAAACCAAACUAAGGCCGGCAUCAUCAAGGGCCUAUUCGGUUACAAGCACUUUCUAUUUCAAGAUUGACAUGUCUUUCGGUCAAUGAAAGUCCUCUUGAUCGCUGACCUCUACUCGGCUGUUGUCGUUGGGACCGGUUUGUGGAUCGCCCCAACAAGAAGGAAAACUCCAAGAA